RNAcentral lists this ribosomal RNA (484 nucleotides) under uncultured bacterium. RNAcentral describes it as "partial 16S ribosomal RNA". It matches the Rfam family "Bacterial small subunit ribosomal RNA", at positions 30 to 507 of the family's 1533-position model. The record is from RNAcentral.
AUUGAACGCUGGCGGCAGGCCUAACACAUGCAAGUCGAGCGGAUGAAGGGAGCUUGCUCCUGGAUUCAGCGGCGGACGGGUGAGUAAUGCCUAGGAAUCUGCCUGGUAGUGGGGGAUAACGUCCGGAAACGGGCGCUAAUACCGCAUACGUCCUGAGGGAGAACCCCCGCGCUCUUCGGACCUCACGCUCUCAGAUGAGCCUAGGUCGGAUUAGCUAGUUGGUGGGGUAAAGGCCUACCAGGGCGACGAUCCGUAACUGGUCUGAGAGGAGGAUCAGUCACACUGGAACUGAGACACGGUCCAGACUCCUACGGGAGGCAGCAGUGGGGAAUAUUGGACAAUGGGCGAAAGCCUGAUCCAGCCAUGCCGCGUGUGUGAAGAAGGUCUUCGGAGUGGAAAGCACUUUAAGUUGGGAGGAAGGGCAGUAAGUUAAUACCUUGCUGUUUUGACGUUACCAACAGAAUAAGCACCGGCUAACUUCGUG